RNAcentral lists this ribosomal RNA (679 nucleotides) under uncultured Acidobacteriota bacterium. Its description in RNAcentral is "bacterial SSU rRNA". It matches the Rfam family "Bacterial small subunit ribosomal RNA", at positions 47 to 706 of the family's 1533-position model. The record is from RNAcentral. Lineage: Bacteria; Pseudomonadati; Acidobacteriota.
CCUCAGACAUGCAAGUCGAACGCGAAAGCCCCUUCGGGGGCAAGUAGAGUGGCGCACGGGUGAGUAACACGUAGGUAAUCUACCUUUGGAUUGGGAAUAACAAUCGGAAACGGUUGCUAAUACCGAAUAAUGCAGCGGCACCUAAUGGUGACAGUUGUUAAAGCGGGGGAUCGCAAGACCUCGCGUCUAAAGAGGAGCCUGCGGCGGAUUAGCUAGUUGGUAGGGUAACGGCUUACCAAGGCGAUGAUCCGUAGCCGGCCUGAGAGGGCGGUCGGCCACACUGACACUGACAUACGGGUCAGACUCCUACGGGAGGCAGCAGUCGGGAAUUUUGGGCAAUGGGCGAAAGCCUGACCCAGCAACGCCGCGUGAAGGAUGAAAUCCCUCGGGAUGUAAACUUCGCAAGAACGGGAAGAAUAAGUAAGAGUUAAUAUCUCUUAUGAUGACGGUACUGUUUGUAAGCUCCGGCUAACUCCGUGCCAGCAGCCGCGGUAAUACGGGGGGAGCAAGCGUUGUUCGGAUUUACUGGGCGUAAAGGGCGCGUAGGCGGCCACCGCAAGUCGAUUGUGAAAUCUCCGGGCUUAACCCGGAAAGGUCAACCGAUACUGCGGGGCUAGAGUGCAGAAGGGGCAACUGGAAUUCUCGGUGUAGCGGUGAAAUGCGUAGAUAUCGAGAGGAA